Molecule: ribosomal RNA, 446 nt
Filed under: uncultured bacterium
Lineage: Bacteria
Description: partial 16S ribosomal RNA
Rfam family: Bacterial small subunit ribosomal RNA
Source: RNAcentral
CCUACGGGUGGCAGCAGUCGAGAAUCAUUCACAAUGGGGGAAACCCUGAUGGUGCGCCGCCGCGUGGGGGAAUGAAGGUCUUCGGAUUGUAAACCCCUGUCAUGUGGGAGCAAAUUAAAAAGAUAGUACCACAAGAGGAAGAGACGGCUAACUCUGUGCCAGCAGCCGCGGUAAUACAGAGGUCUCAAGCGUUGUUCGGAAUCACUGGGCGGAAAGCGUGCGUAGGAUGUUUCGUAAGUCGUGUGUGAAAGGCGCGGGCUCAACCCGCGGACGGCACAUGAUACUGCGAGACUAGAGUAAUGGAGGGGGAACCGGAAUUAUCGGUGUAGCAGUGAAAUGCGUAGAGAUCGAGAGGAACACUCGUGGCGAAGGCGGGUUCCUGGACAUUAACUGACGCUGAGGCACGAAGGCCAGGGGAGCGAAAGGGAUUAGAUACCCUAGUAGUC